GUAGACGCUACGGACUUAAAAUCCGUUGGCUUUAUAGACCAUGAGGGUUCAAGUCCCUCUACCCCCA
RNAcentral lists this transfer RNA (67 nucleotides) under Noteroclada confluens. RNAcentral's name for it is "partial tRNA-Leu". It matches the Rfam family "tRNA", at positions 18 to 71 of the family's 71-position model. From Rfam's summary of the family: Transfer RNA (tRNA) molecules are approximately 80 nucleotides in length. Their secondary structure includes four short double-helical elements and three loops (D, anti-codon, and T loops). The record is from RNAcentral. Lineage: Eukaryota; Viridiplantae; Streptophyta; Jungermanniopsida; Pelliales; Noterocladaceae.